UAACUACGCCACUAUUUGGAAAACCACGAUUUACACUUGCGAAGAUUCUAUGUUUGUAAAUUUUGCAAGACAGGCUGUAUGAUAUUAGUUCUAGCAAAAACCACAGGUGUGUAGACAGGCCGAAUGAUAAGCAACCACUGCUGAUAAAGAAAUCAAUGGCUUAUCAGCUGGAAUUCUGGUGAUUUCUAGGGACUGUAGAAAUGGCUGCUGUAUUCCUGUUGGAGGAGAAAGCUUUCGUGUCUCAAAAGAAAUCCUUACAAAUGUAUGUGCCAGACUUGUGUCAUUACACAAUAAGGAAACAGCCUGGAGUAGUGAAAUCAUUUGAUAAAGCUUUGGCAAAGCUGACAAAAAGUUUAGUUGUAAACGAAAAAGCAGACUUGUAACCAAUUCACUGCUCAUACCUGCAGCUGUUUCAGCCAGUGCUCCAACAUAUAUAUUUUGAUACCAAUUUUGAUUUGUCAUUGUUGUAUCAUUGUAUGAAAAUACUACUUUAGGAAGAAACACAAUUAUGACAUAAGACAGAGUAAGUGAAGAAGCAGCUGCAGAACUAACAACAGAAUAUAUUAAAAAGAUGCAAGUAGAAAGGUUUGAGCAAAAGCAAAUGUAAACAUGUCGGAAACAGAAAAUACAGAAAAAUAAGGGACUGAUAGCUUGGAAACCUAGAAUACUGAAGAGGAUAAUUAUAUCAGGUACAUUUUAUGAAACUCUGGUGAAGAGUAAUUUGAAAGAAUGAAGAAUUUACCCUGAUACUUGGCAGAUCUUAAGACUGUGAACAGAUCCAGCUUAUAAAACAGACAAAAAGGAAAGUGGAUUUGAAGAGCUGCAUGUUGUAACUGAAAAUGCCAAAGUUGAACCUGAUGAUUCUUUGACAAAAAACAGGCACCUGGACUUCACCUGUGUAACAUGUGUAAUGAAACUUUACUAUGUAAUUGUGGACUGGAAAGCUGAUAUGCUUCUAGAAUAAUAUUUCAGAUCUGAAAUCAAAAGAAAAUAGAAGCUGUAACAACACAUUGGGAAAAAGGUUCUUCAAGAAACAAAUUAAGGUUGGAAAGGUCCAUGAUAAUGUAGAAGUUGACCAUAUCAAAAAACUAAAUAAUUGUCUGAUUUAAUAUUAGCGACAUAAGUUAAAUAUGUUGAAGGUUGAAUGCAAGAACCUUGGUAGACAAAAGAUCUGACUCUAGUCAGAAGAAACAUUGAUAAAGCCAGAAUAAAAUCCUGUGAAAAAAGAAACAUAUACAGACCAUUUUGUAUGCUGGCUGUAAUGUACAAGUUUUAACAUGUUUAAAGGGUAAUAUUCACAAUCAGAAAAAAGAGAAAGAACACAGCUAAGUUGCCUGUAACUUCCAAGAAACAGAAACAUGGAGAACAGAAAACUAAUAGAACAUCUUGGUCUUAAAGCACAAGCAAACAAAAAACAACAUGGAAAUCUGAAACAAAAUGCAUGUUUAUUAAAAAAAAAUGGAUUUUUGAGUGUUGCGAAAAGGGAAGAGAAACUGAAAGAACUUCGACAAUGCCUAGCUUCUGUUUUGAUUUACCAUGUCUCAAGAUGUGAUACAUUAUAUUAUUUUUCCACCUUGACUGAAUAUACAAAUUUUGUGGAAAAGCAAGAAACUUGAAGAGAAAUGUGUUUGAACUAUUUGAUAAACUGUUUGAUUUUGUAGUUUGUGAAAGGGACAAAUCAGGAGUGACAGUGUUAUUUUGUUUUUAAGACACAGAAGAAAAGGUAAUGUGUUGAAAAAAUAUUGUUGGAGACACACGGUCAAGGUAUUCUUCAGUCGUUUAGAAAGUGGUAAGUUAGUAGAUGUAUAGAGAAUUUUUGUAUCAAUUUGUGUUUAAUAUCUCUCACCAAGUGAACAGAAAAUGCAAUAUUUUCAUGAGUGAAGUAUAACAGUCAAAAUGUACAAUGUAGUUCUUUAGGUUAAAAGAUCAGAUUAACUUAACUUGGGAGUUGAGGAAAACUAAAAAAGUAAUACUAUGUACAACAAAAUGAUAUAUGUUGGUGCUGUUUUUUAUUCAGUUCAUGGAAAUAGUGUGUUUUUAGUAAGAUAGCAGUUGCAACAAUGCAACUUUUUAUGCCUCUGCUAUUAAAUAAUAUUUAAAAUUACUAGACAUACAGCAACAUUUUUCGAUAUCUGCUUUUAUACACACUACAGAACAAUUAACUCGAGUGGCUCAGUUACAUAGUUGCAAUUGUAUUUUUAAAAUAAUACAAUAUAUACAACAAUUUUAGACUUAUCGUUCAACCUCUUUGUUGUUGAAAGUAAUAAUGACCUUGAAUGUAUAGGCAUAUCAACAAAACUACAUGUUGACCUCAACAUAAUUAUGUCACUUAUUGUAUAAUAUACAGUCUAAA
Mercenaria mercenaria is the source of this 2353-nucleotide long non-coding RNA. RefSeq lists it as uncharacterized. The transcript has 3 exons. The record is from RefSeq and is a predicted model, not a curated record. Lineage: Eukaryota; Metazoa; Mollusca; Bivalvia; Venerida; Veneridae.